This is a long non-coding RNA of Cucurbita moschata (crookneck pumpkin), 1047 nucleotides long. RefSeq lists it as uncharacterized. The transcript has 4 exons. The record is from RefSeq and is a predicted model, not a curated record. NCBI's taxonomy places the organism in Eukaryota, Viridiplantae, Streptophyta, Magnoliopsida, Cucurbitales, Cucurbitaceae.
CGAAGAAGAAUCCAGCAGGCAGAGGCGUGCCGCCAUCAACAUUGCCUCCAUUUCUUCCUUGUUGUAGUUCUUUAAAUUCGGGUCAAUUAGUUGAUUUCCUUGGCCGCAACUGAGUAGAGGUCUUGCCUAUAAGAUUUCAACUUCCUGAACAAGGUUGUCGGAUGGCGAAUCCGAGCUUAGAAUUUUCACUGCUGCUGCUUGUCCGUCUUCGAGCAUUAAAAGACUUCAAAUGUAGAUUACAUAUGAAGCAUUCCAUCACAGCUUGAAGGGAAAAAAGGAGGGAGGAAGCAGCCUCUGGCUAGAUGGCAAUGAUAAAAUAGAGCAGUACGGUCACCAGCCGAGCUACACCAUUGUUCAUGGUGCACGGGAGUCCCCAAAAGGACAUGAAACUGUCUGGACAGGAAGGGAGAGAGAGAGAGAACGGUUGUAACAGCCCAAGCCCAACCCCACCGUUAGGAGAUAUCGUCUGCUUUAGUCUGUUACUUAUUGCGGCUAGCCUCACGGUUUUCAAACGUGUCUACUAGGGAGAGGGUUUCACACCCUUCUAAGGAAUGUUUUGUUCCCCUCUCCAUCUGACAAUUGUGAGAUCCCACAUCAAUUGGAGUGGGAAACGAAACAUUCCUUAUAAGGGUGUGGAACCUCUCCCUAGCAGACGUGUUUGAAAACCGUGAGGUUGACGACGAUAUAUUAUGGGCCAAUGCGGACAAUAUCUCGACGGUUUGCCAGUGGGGAUGUUGGACUCGAGGGUGGACAUAAAAGGGACAAAUAUCCAAAAAGAAUAAACAAGCCUUUUUGUAAUGGCAUUAUCAUCCAACUGGAGAGGCAAAUCUAGACAGUGCAUCAAUGGCAGUUGUAAUUAAGCCUUUUUUUUCUUUCUUUCUGUAAUGGCAUUAUCAUCAUUGUCUCAUUCAGCCAACACCCUCCAUUAAAAGGGUCCCCCAACAUUCACUCUACAUUGAUAGCACAUUCAUUUCCUCACCUGUUUAGGGAGUGAAGUGCAAAAGUGCUUUUAUUCAUCUUCAAGCAAUAUUACUUGUACAUAUCCAA